UACGUAGGGACCAAGCGUUGUUCGGAUUUACUGGGCGUAAAGGGUGCGUAGGCGGCGCGUCAAGUCAGUUGUGAAAUCUCUGAGCUUAACUCAGAACGGUCAACUGAUACUGUCAUGCUAGAGUGCAGAAGGGGCAAUCGGAAUUCUUGGUGUAGCGGUGAAAUGCGUAGAUAUCUGGAGGAACACCGGUGGCGAAGGCGGCAUCCUGGACCGACACUGACACUGAGGAGCGAAAGCCAGGGGAGCAAACGGG
RNAcentral lists this ribosomal RNA (253 nucleotides) under uncultured bacterium. RNAcentral describes it as "partial 16S ribosomal RNA". It matches the Rfam family "Bacterial small subunit ribosomal RNA", at positions 524 to 776 of the family's 1533-position model. The record is from RNAcentral.